CUAUAAUUUCUCUGCUGUGCAAUCAAAUACUAGAACUUCUUCCUUCGAACGCUAUAUCCCUAAUUCAAUAACAAGUAAACUGAAGCUCAGCAUGGUCUAGGAACUUUGUUACGUUAACACAGCAAGUGAGUGUUGCAGCCUGGAUCCAAAAAUCAGGCCUGGUAGACCUCAAAGUCCAGAUUAUUGACCUUUCUACCAUAAUGUAUGGAGUUUUAGGAUUUGAAGAUAAAAGAGGUGAAAAUUUGGAAAUGGUUUCUGGACUUUGAAUUUUGGCAAACAGCUAUGUGAUAAGUCCACCCUGCAGACCCACAACUUUUGGAAAUAACUCUACUGUGACCUUCAGUAGCAGAAGCUGCUCCUGGGGUGGUAGAACACAAGGAAAACACACACUAGUAAAAAUUUCAUGUGCCUUCUUUGUUCUGUACAUGUGUUUCUCUUGAUUAGUAUAUGGUAGUAUCCUCAAAUCAUAGUAACAAGUAUACUUUUUCCAGUGAAUUGCAUGUGUAUAUUAUUGUAUAGUAUAAAAGGCAAUAUUUCCAUUUAUUAUCAUCUGUGCUUUUCAAAGAAACUCUGUGAGUCCAAAAGGGCGAUAAUAGAAGCAACUGCCCUUUCUCUCCCCCGUUAAAUGCAACCCAAUGUCAAAGUCCGUAGCAUCCCCAAAUGAGUGUGUUAAAGGUGAGAAAUUCCCAGAGUCAAACUCAGUAGCAUCCUUGAAUGAGUGUAUUAAAGGUGAUAAAUUUAUUUUAUUUAUGUUCUUUUUAACCUGUGUUCUCAGAAACAGAGACUACUGUAUUUCAUCCUACCUUAGUCUUGCUUAGCAGUUUCUCUUCUCCUUUGAGGCUCUUUUAUUUUUAAAUCAUUGUUCAUAUCUUCUAAUUUCCCCUUUCUCCCAUUCUUUCCAUAUUUUUAAUCUUUUUUUAACUUUAUCUCUGUUCUGCUUUUUCUGUAUUUCAAAUUGAUCCAUAGACUUUAGAAAAAUGAGUUGAAUGCUGGCUGUAGGCUGUCUUAUCCCCAGCAAGAAACAUGUUGUAAAGUCUUAGUACCUUCCCACUGGAAGAUCAUUAGUCAUGGCUACUAUGUUUUUAAAUGAGAAUUGUUUUAAUUAUGCAUUUUAAAAUUAUUGGAAAACAUGAGGGAGAGGAAUGAACCAUAAGUAAUAAAGAUUAUUGACUUGAAGUUAAGACCUUACUAUGAUCUGGGAUUAUUAGUCUUACUUGUCAAUCAAGAACUAUCCACUUUCUAUUUGUUUGUGGGUAUCUAAUAUGGUUAUAUACACAGAAGUAAUGAUAAUUGAUAUGAAAAGGUCUCCUCCUGUUAUAUCAAUUUAGGUAUUUUUCACACAUUGUGUACCUCAUUCUUCUCCUAUUCAAUUUUCACUAAUUCCUAAAGGGUCAGGUCAAUGUCCUUGGCAUAACCUCCUCCACCUGUUCUUAAUGGCAAUUGUAUCUUCUGCCCUCCAAUAUCUAUAACACUUUUUUCUUUAAAACUC
RNAcentral lists this long non-coding RNA (1489 nucleotides) under Homo sapiens (human). RNAcentral describes it as "HSALNT0331541". Lineage: Eukaryota; Metazoa; Chordata; Mammalia; Primates; Hominidae. The record is from RNAcentral.